Molecule: long non-coding RNA, 588 nt
Organism: Pan troglodytes (chimpanzee)
Lineage: Eukaryota; Metazoa; Chordata; Mammalia; Primates; Hominidae
Exons: 3
Source: RefSeq, a predicted model, not a curated record
CGUUGAGAGUGAUGCCAGGAAUCAAGAUGGCCGCCUGGGACCGCUCUCAGCACCUUCGGCCUCUACCUGAAGAGCCACGCCCCGUCUGCUACACCCAACCGAUUGGUUCCUCAAUCACAGAGAGGAAAGGCAACAUGAGGAUGACGUCAGAUACAAAUAUGGCGUUUUGGACGGGCUCGAUAGUUUGCUUGGCCUCUACUCAAGGAAUGCUGAUGGUAUAGCAAGAAGGUAUUCUGAGCAUUAUAUCAAUGGGGAAGUUCUAGAUCUUUUGCAAAGCAGGAGCAAGCUGCCCUGUUGUGAGCUCUCUGGUGGAGAGCCCCACAUGGCAAGAAAAUGAGAAGCCCCCUGAACAGACAAGAGCUGAGGCCCAGGAUACAAUAUCCUGAAAAAAACUGAAUCCUGCUGACAGUUGCCCAAGUGAAGCUGGAAGUGGAUCUUUCUGCAGUGGAUCCUUGAGAUGACUGCAGCCGUGGCUGACAACUUGAUUGCUGCCUGUGAAGGACCCUGAACCAGAGGACUCAGCGAAAUUGUGCCCAGAUUCCUGACCUACAGAGGCAGUGAGAUAAUAAAUGCUGUUGAGGUCACAAA